Molecule: ribosomal RNA, 433 nt
Filed under: uncultured bacterium
Lineage: Bacteria
Description: partial 16S ribosomal RNA
Rfam family: Bacterial small subunit ribosomal RNA
Source: RNAcentral
AACGAACGCUGGCGGCAUGCCUAACACAUGCAAGUCGAACGAGACCUUCGGGUCUAGUGGCGCACGGGUGCGUACCGCGUGGGAACCUGCCCUUAGGUUCGGAAUAACUCCCCGAAAGGGGUGCUAAUACCGGAUAAUGUCUUCGGACCAAAGAUUUAUCGCCUUUGGAUGGGCCCGCGUUGGAUUAGCUAGUUGGUAGGGUAAAAGCCUACCAAGGCGACGAUCCAUAGCUGGUCUGAGAGGAUGAUCAGCCACACUGGGACUGAGACACGGCCCAGACUCCUACGGGAGGGAGCAGUGGGGAAUAUUGGACAAUGGGCGAAAGCCUGAUACAGCAAUGCCGCGGGAGUGAUGAAGGCCUUAGGGUUGUAAAGCUCUUUUACCCGGGAUGAUAAUGACAGUACCGGGAGAAUAAGCUCCGGCUAACUCCGUG